GCACUCUGCUGAACGCAAAGAUGCGUAAAAUAUUGACAGGGUGAUGUAUUAAAUAUUGACUUACUAAGAAAUUAAAGUAUCUUUGUAAAGCGCACGAUUUUCUACUCUUGGGAAUUUAAAGCAAGCUUCUUAAACAGUUUCUUAUGCAUAAAAUUUACUUAUGUCAAGCUUUUAUGCACUUGUGCGGAGUUCAGCAGAGUGCUGAGGCAUUCAAAUUCUAACAAUACGUUAUUUCUAUACUGUAGAGGGUACUUUUUUGGGGACACCCUGUAUAUCAAAACAAGUAACUCGAUGACAUGAGAACAGUGGGAUUCUCAAAACAAUGAAAUGACAAUGGAACAUUCCGAUCACUGGAACGGAUUCGGUACUAUUGUUAAUACGCAAAGAACGCCCAAACAAAUGGUAUAAAUAGCAGAGAACUUGUAUUCACGAGCCUUUAGAACUCAGAAGACAAUCAACAACGAACUCGUCCACAUAACCAACGUCCAACAAUGUCAAGCAAAGUUUUCUUCCUUGUUAUCUCAAUGGCAAUUUGUUUCAGCGCCAUGACAAGAACGGCAAGCGCCACGAACGCACCAGCGCUGACAACCCAAGCAGUUAACCCAACACAAGUACAGCCAGAGCCCACGCCAACUCACAGUAUACAGCCAACUUUAAAAAGCGUGAAUGGCACCAUUUCUCCGACCAAAAUUCGAACAACAAGUUCUGCUAGUCGUCUUGGAAUCUCGUCUCUUCUUUAUGCAGCCAUUCUCGCUUUGGUGUUACGGUGAAUCAGCCAUUAAACGAACUCUAAGCCCAAGUCUUAAAGAGAGGACAGUUUGCACAUUUUGAACUUUGUUAUAACUUAUUAUAUAUUAUUUUGCUUCAAGUGAAAUCUCGAAAGUUAUAGUUUUGAUGACCAUGUUUAAACGGACCUUAUAGCUUAGAGGACAGUUUGAACGUUAUUAAAUGAAAGUAUUUAUAUAGACUAUGAUCUGGCCUUAAUAGGUGUACCUAUUUAUUUUUCAAGUUAAAAUCCGAUAGAUCUAGCUCUAAAUCUGCGUUGCAUAGGCCAUUGCUUAUUUCGAAAUCGCUGUUAGCUCUUAACCCAAGCUAGACCAAGCUGGACAUAGGAAGUUAUAAUUGAUGUAUAUUAUUGAUGUAAAGUUAAAGUUAGAAGUUAUUGGAUUUUUCCUCUGUUUAAACGGGCAGUAACGCGUUUCAUCGUGUUUGAAGUUUAUAUAAGUUUAAGUAUAGAACCGCCCCGAAUUUGCCCCACUUGGAUAUGCCCAAUUCUUGCGUUCUCAAAGUGUAAGGUAGUUUUUUUACCAAAAUGGCUGGCGGCCAUGUUCUUAGCAAGUGCUCUAAAGAGAGGCAUUCACC
Non-coding RNA from Paramuricea clavata, 1362 nucleotides. NCBI's taxonomy places the organism in Eukaryota, Metazoa, Cnidaria, Anthozoa, Malacalcyonacea, Plexauridae. The record is from the annotation of a GenBank genome assembly.